Molecule: long non-coding RNA, 612 nt
Organism: Xenopus laevis (African clawed frog)
Lineage: Eukaryota; Metazoa; Chordata; Amphibia; Anura; Pipidae
Exons: 3
Source: RefSeq, a predicted model, not a curated record
GACUAAACAUUUGGCAGUCCUCUAUCAAGGUGGGUACUACUUAGGGCAGGAAGGAUCCUGCACGACGCUAUCCUGGAACUCUGUGCACAGCUUAAAAACGAUGCCGUGACUUUGGUGGAUGUUAUUGCUCCUCCAGACUUCAUUUUAAAAUUAAACUCACCUAUUGCCAAAGCUGAUGGAGAGGUAAAGAGAAAAUGACAAACCUUUAGGAAUAGGAAAAAUAUGUAAUAUGUACCUAGCAGAACCAAUCUUUUAUGGUUCCCCAGCAUCUGUUGUUUUCCACCUGGUUUAAUCUCCAGUUUCCUUCCAGUUACUUCAUGGGUUUACUCUAAUUUACUUUAAUUUUGAAUUAUAAAUUAUAAUUUGUUUUUAAAUUAAAUAUGAUGCAAUUCAAUUAGCUUUUGUAAUUUAAUUAAAAACGCGGCUGAGAACAUCAACUCAACAAAGGAGAAAAAAGUUGACUAUAACCUGCAACAAUAGAAGUCCAUGGUGACCUUGCUUUAGCUCGUCAGAGUACAAAAACAAAAGGGAACCUUAUUCACAGAGACAUUUCUCUUGGCCUCAGUGCAGUUGCACAAUGUUCUCUUCUAUAUUUUGUAAGAAAAAAAUUAA